RNAcentral lists this RNase P RNA (419 nucleotides) under Altericroceibacterium indicum. RNAcentral's name for it is "Altererythrobacter indicus Bacterial RNase P class A". It matches the Rfam family "Bacterial RNase P class A". From Rfam's summary of the family: Ribonuclease P (RNase P) is a ubiquitous endoribonuclease, found in archaea, bacteria and eukarya as well as chloroplasts and mitochondria. Its best characterised activity is the generation of mature 5'-ends of tRNAs by cleaving the 5'-leader elements of precursor-tRNAs. Lineage: Bacteria; Pseudomonadati; Pseudomonadota; Alphaproteobacteria; Sphingomonadales; Erythrobacteraceae. The record is from Rfam by way of RNAcentral.
CCAGGGGGCCGGGCAACCGCGUGGGAACUUUAUGGUCCUUCGAGGAAAGUCCGGGCUCCACGAAACAAGGGUGGCGGGUAACGCCCGCCGACCUCCGCAAGGGGGUUAGGGAAAGUGCCACAGAGAGCAAACCGCCAAAGGGGCCUUCGGGUCUCAUGGUAAGGGUGAAAGGGUGCGGUAAGAGCGCACCGCGCAACCGGCAACGGAAGCGGCAUGGUAAACCCCACCCGGAGCAAAACCGAAUAGGGGCGCCGCGCCAGCGCAAGCUGGCAGGUCUGUUUCGGACCGAGGACGCCCGGGUUGGUUGCUUGAGCGCACGCAGCAAUGCGUCGCCGAGAUGAAUGGUUGCCCUUUGCGGUCGCGUCCUUUCAGGAUACGGGCCGCUCUGACAGAACCCGGCUUACAGGCCCUCUGGCGUA